GGUAACAGCUUCAGUAGCACAACGCCU
Molecule: non-coding RNA, 27 nt
Filed under: Rattus norvegicus (Norway rat)
Lineage: Eukaryota; Metazoa; Chordata; Mammalia; Rodentia; Muridae
Source: RNAcentral